This 205-nucleotide unclassified non-coding RNA is filed under the name uncultured Inocybe. RNAcentral's name for it is "sequence contains ITS1". Lineage: Eukaryota; Fungi; Basidiomycota; Agaricomycetes; Agaricales; Cortinariaceae. The record is from RNAcentral.
ACGAAGUACAUGACGAGUUGUUGCUGUUUAUCGUGCACGCUUGUUAUUCUUCAUUUUUCCAUCAUUUGUGCAUCACUUGUGUGGACCACGGUUAGGACUGCUUUGCAAAGUCACUAUUUGCAGGGCUUUCCUUGUAAUCUUUUGGUCUACAUGUAUUUUUUCACAUACACCAAUGUUUUAGAAGGAAUGAAAUGAAAUUGUUAUA